Molecule: ribosomal RNA, 377 nt
Filed under: uncultured Chloroflexota bacterium
Lineage: Bacteria; Bacillati; Chloroflexota
Description: bacterial SSU rRNA
Rfam family: Bacterial small subunit ribosomal RNA
Source: RNAcentral
UAAUACGUAGGUCACAAACGUUGUCCGGAUUUAUUGGGCGUAAAGGGUCCGUAGGGGGUUCGGUAAGUCUCCUGUGAAAUCUUCAGGCUCAACUUGAAGAGGUCGGGGGAUACUGCCGGACUUGAGACUGUUAGAGGCAAGUGGAAUUCCCGGUGUAGUGGUGAAAUGCGUAGAUAUCGGGAGGAACACCAGUGGCGAAAGCGGCUUGCUGGGACAGUUCUGACGCUGAGGGACGAAAGCGUGGGUAGCAAACCGGAUUAGAUACCCGGGUAGUCCACGCCGUAAACGAUGAAUGCUAGGUUUUCGGGGUAUCGACCCCCUGAGAGCCGUAGCUAACGCGAUAAGCAUUCCGCCUGGGGACUACGGUCGCAAGACUA